RNAcentral lists this long non-coding RNA (243 nucleotides) under Mytilus galloprovincialis (Mediterranean mussel). The record is from RNAcentral. Lineage: Eukaryota; Metazoa; Mollusca; Bivalvia; Mytilida; Mytilidae.
UUCCUGCAUUUUUUUGGACACCUGUGGCAUGAAAAUAUAACCAAGUGAUAAAGGAUAAGCAAUCUAUAUCACUAGUGAUGGAAGAAUCCUUUCCAUAUUACCUUUCACAUUUUUAAUAGUAAUUUAUAACCAAAAAUUCUGCAGUAAACCCAUGUCUGUUCAUUUCUGAGAGUUAGUUUUUUUUUCUUCUGAAUGAUCAAUUUAACACCAGAACACCAAGGAUAUCUAGUCCUAACAACCUUA